AUAUCAGUAAGCGGAGGAAAAGAAACCAACAGGGAUUGCCUUAGUAACGGCGAGUGAAGCGGCAACAGCUCAGAUUUGAAAGCCGGCAUCAGCCUGCAUUGUAAUCUGCAGAGGAACGUUUGGCUGCGGUAAGGGUCCAAGUCUUCUGGAAUGAAGCGCCUUAGAGGGUGAGAGCCCCGUAUGCGACUGGGUGCCUAAGUUCAUGUAAAGCUCCUUCGACGAGUCGAGUUGUUUGGGAAUGCAGCUCAAAAUGGGUGGUAAAUUUCAUCUAAAGCUAAAUAUUGGCCAGAGACCGAUAGCGCACAAGUA
Molecule: ribosomal RNA, 309 nt
Filed under: uncultured eukaryote
Lineage: Eukaryota
Description: partial large subunit ribosomal RNA
Rfam family: Eukaryotic large subunit ribosomal RNA
Source: RNAcentral